This 434-nucleotide ribosomal RNA is filed under the name uncultured Lachnospiraceae bacterium. RNAcentral describes it as "partial 16S ribosomal RNA". It matches the Rfam family "Bacterial small subunit ribosomal RNA", at positions 341 to 792 of the family's 1533-position model. The record is from RNAcentral. Lineage: Bacteria; Bacillati; Bacillota; Clostridia; Lachnospirales; Lachnospiraceae.
ACGGAAGGCAGCAGUGGGGAAUAUUGCACAACGGGCGAAAGCCUGAUGCAGCGACGCCGCGUGAGUGAAGAAGUAUCUCGGUAUGUAAAGCUCUAUCAGCAGGGAAGAAAAUGACGGUACCUGACUAAGAAGCCCCGGCUAACUACGUGCCAGCAGCCGCGGUAAUACGUAGGGGGCAAGCGUUAUCCGGAUUUACUGGGUGUAAAGGGAGCGUAGACGGUUUGGCAAGUCUGAAGUGAAAUGCGGGGGCUCAACUCCUGAACUGCUUUGGAAACUGUCGAACUAGAGUGCAGGAGAGGUAAGUGGAAUUCCUAGUGUAGCGGUGAAAUGCGUAGAUAUUAGGAGGAACACCAGUGGCGAAGGCGGCUUACUGGACUGUAACUGACGUUGAGGCUCGAAAGCGUGGGGAGCAAACAGGAUUAGAUACCCUGGUA